RNAcentral lists this ribosomal RNA (819 nucleotides) under Salmonella enterica. RNAcentral describes it as "partial 23S ribosomal RNA". It matches the Rfam family "Bacterial large subunit ribosomal RNA", at positions 1 to 851 of the family's 2925-position model. The record is from RNAcentral. Lineage: Bacteria; Pseudomonadati; Pseudomonadota; Gammaproteobacteria; Enterobacterales; Enterobacteriaceae. RNAcentral also lists the same sequence under 1 other name.
GGGUUGUGAGGUUAAGCGACUAAGCGUACACGGUGGAUGCCCUGGCAGUCAGAGGCGAUGAAGGGCGUGCUAAUCUGCGAUAAGCGCCGGUAAGGUGAUAUGAACCGUUAUAACCGGCGAUACCCGAAUGGGGAAACCCAGUGUGACUCGUCACACUAUCAUUAACUGAAUCCAUAGGUUAAUGAGGCGAACCGGGGGAACUGAAACAUCUAAGUACCCCGAGGAAAAGAAAUCAACCGAGAUUCCCCCAGUAGCGGCGAGCGAACGGGGAGGAGCCCAGAGCCUGAAUCAGCAUGUGUGUUAGUGGAAGCGUCUGGAAAGACGCGCGAUACAGGGUGACAGCCCCGUACACAAAAGCGUAUGUGCUGUGAGCUCGAUGAGUAGGGCGGGACACGUGGUAUCCUGUCUGAAUAUGGGGGGACCAUCCUCCAAGGCUAAAUACUCCUGACUGACCGAUAGUGAACCAGUACCGUGAGGGAAAGGCGAAAAGAACCCCGGCGAGGGGAGUGAAAAAGAACCUGAAACCGUGUACGUACAAGCAGUGGGAGCACAGGUUUACCUGUGUGACUGCGUACCUUUUGUAUAAUGGGUCAGCGACUUAUAUUCUGUAGCAAGGUUAACCGAAUAGGGGAGCCGGAGGGAAACCGAGUCUUAAUUGGGCGUUAAGUUGCAGGGUAUAGACCCGAAACCCGGUGAUCUAGCCAUGGGCAGGUUGAAGGUUGGGUAACACUAACUGGAGGACCGAACCGACUAAUGUUGAAAAAUUAGCGGAUGACCUGUGGCUGGGGGUGAAAGGCCAAUCAAACCGGGAGAUAGCUG